This 561-nucleotide ribosomal RNA is filed under the name Triticum aestivum (bread wheat). Its description in RNAcentral is "partial small subunit ribosomal RNA". The record is from RNAcentral. Lineage: Eukaryota; Viridiplantae; Streptophyta; Magnoliopsida; Poales; Poaceae.
AUGGCUGUUACACCGACGACCAAAGAACUCGAGCUUCUAGUAUGGUCGAAAGAGGCGAGCUUUGAUUUCCCAUGCACACUACUAUCUGACAGGUCUGGGGGCUCGAUUCAGAAGCUUCUCCUUUUCAGAUGUGCCUUACGUCCCACAUUUCAACUUGGUUUGAGAAGCUUGAAAACACUGCAUCUGCACGAUGUGCGUGUUACGGGGGAGGAGUUAGGGUGCCUUCUGUCCAGUUCCACUGCUUUGGAGCAGCUGAAGCUCGUAUAUUGCGAUGAUAUAGUUCGGCUGGAGAUACCUUGCCUGCUGCAGCGGCUCAGCUUCCUGGAGGUGGCUGGAUGCAUGAGUCUUCAAGUGAUAGAGAACAGAGCUCCAAAUCUCUCCAGAUUUUACCUUGAAGCGGGUGAACGGGUGCAAGUCUCAUUUGGAGAGUCGAAAGUGAAGAAAGUGCAGUUGGUGCAGAGUUGUGCCAUCAGUUAUGCUAUUGACAACCUUCCUUCCCGUGCGCCGAAUCUUGAGACUCUUACCAUAUAUUCUACUUGUGAGGUAUGCUCUUACUCUUAA